UUGAUUUUGUUUGUUUGUUUGUUCAGACGGUACAGGUACUGCAAGAGGUUUGUGGUUGGGUCCAUCGGCGGGCGGACCCGCCGAGGAAACGGACGGUACUCGAAAGGGCAAGGGUUGUAUCUCAGCGGGGCCGGAGCCCCACGUUAAUGAUCCUUCCGCAGGUUCACCUACGGAAA
Molecule: unclassified non-coding RNA, 176 nt
Filed under: uncultured fungus
Lineage: Eukaryota; Fungi
Description: sequence contains ITS1
Source: RNAcentral